CGUGAGAUGUUGGGUUAAGUCCCGCAACGAGCGCAACCCUUGCCAUUAGUUGCUACGAAAGGGCACUCUAAUGGGACUGCCGUGACAAACCGGAGGAAGGUGGGGAUGACGUCAGGUCAUCAUGGCCCUUAUGGGUAGGGCUACACACGUCAUACAAUGGCCGGUACAGAGGGCUGCCAACCCGCGAGGGGGAGCCAAUCCCAGAAAACCGGUCGUAGUCCGGAUCGUAGUCUGCAACUCGACUGCG
Molecule: ribosomal RNA, 247 nt
Filed under: uncultured bacterium
Lineage: Bacteria
Description: partial 16S ribosomal RNA
Rfam family: Bacterial small subunit ribosomal RNA
Source: RNAcentral